This 460-nucleotide ribosomal RNA is filed under the name uncultured bacterium. RNAcentral describes it as "partial 16S ribosomal RNA". It matches the Rfam family "Bacterial small subunit ribosomal RNA", at positions 338 to 795 of the family's 1533-position model. The record is from RNAcentral.
CCUACGGGUGGCAGCAGUGAGGAAUAUUGGUCAAUGGACGAGAGUCUGAACCAGCCAAGUAGCGUGAAGGAUGACUGCCCUAUGGGUUGUAAACUUCUUUUAUCUGGGAAUAAAAUGUUCCACGUGUGGGAUUUUGUAUGUACCAUAUGAAUAAGCAUCGGCUAACUCCGUGCCAGCAGCCGCGGUAAUACGGAGGAUCCGAGCGUUAUCCGGAUUUAUUGGGUUUAAAGGGAGCGUAGGUGGGUUGUUAAGUCAGUUGUGAAAAUUUGCGGCGCAACCGUAAAAUUGCAGUUGAAACUGGCAGUCUUGAGUACAGUAGAGGUGUGCGGAAUGCGUGGUGUAGCGGUGAAAUGCUUAGAUAUCACGAAGAACUCCGAUUGCGAAGGCAGCUCACUGGACUGCAACUGACACUGAGGCUCGAAAGUGUGGGUAUCGAACAGGAUUAGAUACCCGAGUAGUC